Salvelinus fontinalis (brook trout) is the source of this 1855-nucleotide long non-coding RNA. RefSeq lists it as uncharacterized. The transcript has 3 exons. NCBI's taxonomy places the organism in Eukaryota, Metazoa, Chordata, Actinopteri, Salmoniformes, Salmonidae. The record is from RefSeq and is a predicted model, not a curated record.
GCAACCAUGCCAGGGCUGCCAAUAUACUGUACUAUGCCCAAGCAAGAAGCGGCAGGGGGCUGUGCGCAGUUACAACAUCUUAUGAAUAGCAAAUACUGGAACGAUCAAGUCGAAUAUGUAAAUACGCUUUCAAGCUUAUUAGACAUCGGAACUUUAAGGAUGAGUUGGAACGCCACAAAACUACAUGAUGGUCUAUGGAGUCUGUACUGCCCCUCCGAAAGCUUCUGCGAGUGCAAGUAUCCCGUGGCCUGCUUGGAGAGGCAGAAUGAACUGAACCAGCUCCCAGAGAAAGCAAGGCAAUAGGAGGACAGCCGGCCCCCUGCUAAGACUCCCUGCCAGCCGGCCCGGACAGCCAGUGUGGGGGCCUGGAGCUCCUGGAUGUGCCAGGCAGGGCUACAGAUGUGCUGCCAGCUUUGCCAGGGGUCACCUUGGAGUGGCCAGUGGCAGCCUGUCCCCCGGCUGCAGCUAGCUGCCAGCUUAAUCCGCCACGGGGGGAGGAGAGGGGCCAGCCAGCCAGUCCUCUGGAUCCCUUACAGUCAACCUCCACUUUUACGGCCACCACUUCACCAUCUCCCUCUCACUCCACCUACCACUGCGCUGAGAUCAGAGUGAGGAGCAACUACAGAGCUGUUCUCCAUGGCUCUGCUCACUAUGAGUAGAGAGUAAACAAGGACAGUCCCCCCUGUGAGAACUUCCUGUCUUUUUGUGAGGAGAGGGGCGGGUGGGUUGAGAGUUGAGAGGAGGACAGCGGCCUCUGGAGAUGCCCCCACCAGCUGCUCGCCCUCCCCUGGGUUGAGGGGGUCGGCGGCUCCCCGUCGGAGGCGUGUGGAACAUGGGCGACAGGCUCGAGGGGGUCAGCGGGUGCCCCUGGCUGGACAGCCAUAAGUAAUGGGGCCCUGCGCCUAAACAGGCACCGCUCUGAAUCAACUUAAUUAGAUAGGAGGAAGGGGGGUGACAGGCUUGCCACGGGACAAAACGGAGUAGGAGUUUUACACACGCAGAUAAAAAGGAUGAUCAUUCUACAUUAGCGCUGAUGGGGAAUUUGCUGACCCUACAUGAUUUGGGAUGCUGAGAAACUCCUCCAAGCAUCUUUUUACUCCCAUCAGAUGACCAGGCAGUUUAGACUUCAGAGUAGAAGCUGAACCUGCAGGGUUUUAGCUAAGUGAAAUAGGCAAUAGACAGAUGCUUCCACAACAAAUGAGAAGUCAUUCUGUGAUCCCCUGCUAGUUAAACUCCAGAUGUAAAAACACUUUGUUUAGAUACUUCACCAAUGUGUCAGGGUGAGUAGAGCCCGACCGAUAUAUCGGUUCACCGAUAUUGUCGGCAGAUAGGGGCCUUUUAACACUAUCGGCGUCGGCUGAUAAUUCCAUCGAUAAGCAAUAUUCCAAAAAUAGGAUUUUAAAAAAUUCUCAUGCUGAUCUGAACGCUUGCGACCAUUCCCAUAAUGUGUCAAGCACAAUGUAAGAAAUGAUGUGUCAAGCACAAUGGUGAUGAUGUGUCAAGCACAAUGGUGAUGAUGUGUCAAGCACAAUGGUGAUGAUGUGUCAAGCACAAUGUAAGAAAUGAUGCGUCAAGCACAAUGUAAGAAAUGAUGUGUCAAGCACAAUGGUGAUGAUGUGUCAAGCACAAUGGUGAUGAUGUGUCAAGCACAAUGGUGAUGAUGUGUCAAGCACAAUGGUGAUGAUGUGUCAAGCACAAUGUAAGAAAUGAUGUGUCAAGCACAAUGUAAGAAAUUAUGUGUCAAGCACAAUGGUGAUGAUGUGUCAAGCACAAUGGUGAUGAUGUGUCAAGCACAAUGGUGAUGAUGUGUCAAGCACAAUGGUGAUGAUGUGUCAAGCACAAUGUAAGAAAUGAU